GUUAGAGUAAUUUUGUUGCACAAUUAAUUUUGUGUUUGUGUGUUAGCUUAGUAAACUCAUUACUUGCAUGCCCUGCAUGCCCAACUCUAAGGUUAGGAAGUGAAUCUCAUUUGAACGUUCAAAAUCAGAAGUUCUUAACUUCAUAUUAGAUUCCCACUUAUAAGAGCUUUUCAUUUUUUGCUAUGACCUUUUAGCUUGUCCCGUACUAGGAUUUCUAAUUUUCAUCAAAAUUUAAUAGAGGGUAUUUUAUUUCUU
RNAcentral lists this long non-coding RNA (255 nucleotides) under Setaria viridis. RNAcentral describes it as "long non-coding RNA (SVIR_LNC005374)". Lineage: Eukaryota; Viridiplantae; Streptophyta; Magnoliopsida; Poales; Poaceae. The record is from RNAcentral.